UUAACUCAAAUAUGUAUGGAGUUGGAACUUUUGCCUAAGUUUGCCGCUAGGGGCGCUGUUCCAACUUCAUACAAAUUUGAGUUA
RNAcentral lists this microRNA precursor (84 nucleotides) under Bombyx mori (domestic silkworm). Its description in RNAcentral is "mir-2807 microRNA precursor family". It matches the Rfam family "mir-2807 microRNA precursor family". The record is from Rfam by way of RNAcentral. Lineage: Eukaryota; Metazoa; Arthropoda; Insecta; Lepidoptera; Bombycidae.